AACUCACUGAGGCAGCCUGCCAUCUAGCUUUUUCACAGCAAAAUAGGCUUGCAGACUGCAGAUGAGAGACUCGGGAGCAGAGACAAUUUUAACUUAGCCAUCCCUAAUUUAUCUCAAGCUUUUUCAAUUCAUCUUCACUGCUCUGUGCACAUUGGAACACCAGAUUGUCAACCCCUGGGAACAGAAUGCAACCAGGGAACUAGAGAGCUGUCACAUCCUGAGAAAUAUUUAAAUUGUGCCGAUUUUCUUCUGGAGUGCUGAGCAGAGGGAAUGAAACUCUCCAUCAAGUCCUAGCUUUGCGGGCAAUAGAUCAGAGGAUACUGCCAGUUUUUCUAAUGGAUUAUUGUUAUCGGGCAGGUUCUUCCUGAAGAGGAUCCAGCCUCCUGGGGACAGACUAGACCACAACAUACUUUCCUUUUGAGUAAUAAUGCAUAUGGAGAUUGUAAUUUUCAGUUUAAAAUAUAUGUGUGCUUAAAAUUUAAGGAAUAUGUUUCCUUAAGAUUUGCUUCAGGACUGUCCGAAGAAUGUUUGAUUUUUCUAAGGUAUGUAAAUUCUAAAUGUGCCUGUACACAUCAGCAUAGACUCUACAUGUCUGCUGUUUAAAUAACAAAAAUGGAUGCAAUAGAUUCUAAAUGUUCAGCAAUAUUUUUGAAAAGACUGAUGAAUAAUUAAGGAUUCCUGAGGGAAGGUCCAAUUAGUUCUCUAGCAGUUUGUUCACAUUUUCUUGACUUUAAAUCACAAACUGCAUUAUGAAAUUAAAUGUGAGUUUAAAGUACCAGACUUUUUGUUUGUUUGCUUGUUUAUGUUUGUAUUAUCUACUUCAGAUAGGUGAGAUCUGACUAACGUACCUUAAUCCACCUAAUAAUGUUAGAAAGUAAGCUCAGGAAAACUUUCAUGAGAAGAAACAAAAGUGUAUACAUUGUAUGUCUUUAAUAUUAUAAAUGAUCUUGUCCAUCAUGCUGCUUGCCAGUGAUCUUCUCUGUGGACAUACUGUCUUUUAGGAAUUUGCAGUCUUGAUCUUGUAAUAGAGUGAUAGUCAUUUAAGGUGGUGAUGAACCACUGAAAAAUGGAAAAGAUGAAAAGAGGCAGUCCUACCUUAAAUGAGAAAGCAAAUGAUGAAGUUAAGAAAUAGCUUAUUUGCUCAGUCAACUUUUACUUAAAAAUUAGUAUUUUUGAUCACAUAACUAAAGAUUUCCUGAAAAUAGCUGUCCUUUAAAUGAAUUCUUACCUUUUCCCUCUGGCGGUUCUCUGUGUCAGUUUUUUAACUCCAUGAUUUGAGAUAUGAAAGCAGAAAUAGAAGUCAGAAUAUAUACCUGAUGACUCUUGGUUUUCUCUCAUUUUUGCAUCUUAUGUUUCA
This 1357-nucleotide long non-coding RNA is filed under the name Numida meleagris (helmeted guineafowl). RNAcentral describes it as "lncRNA (ENSNMEG00000005691.1)". The record is from RNAcentral. Lineage: Eukaryota; Metazoa; Chordata; Aves; Galliformes; Numididae.